CUGAGCCCAAGUGAGCUGUUUGGGGAAGUAACAGGGUUUGGGAUCAAAUUGGAAAUCCAAGACCCCGAUUUCGGUUCUUCCAGUGCAGUACAUCACACGCACCCCGCAGUGAAAUCCUUAUCCAUAAACUAUGCAUAAUUCUAUAACCCCUUUGCAUGUUUUUUCCAGCCCUGUUUUCACAUCCUACCCGCCCCUCUGCUGGGCACCUCGCUGGAAUGACCGCCAGCUGUGCCACAGGCUGUCGAGUUCCCUGAGCCUGCCGUAAAUAACCCUGCUUCUCCUUUGUUACCGCUCAGAUCCUGCCGUUGCCAGAGCCGGUGCUGCGGAAGAAACGAAGCUGGUGUAUCCCUACUGUUGCAGACCCGAGAUGGUGCAGAGCCUAGAGGGUUAAAGCAACAGGAUGAAGUCAGCAUAAAACAGCCUACAAGGACUGGCAAAUAAAUAAAUCAUCCUAACUACGUUAUUAUCAUGGCUUGCCUGAGCUUCAUUGUCUCUUUCGUUCUUACCUGAAUGCCUGUUACAUUUUUCUCCUUGUUCAAGAGAGGCAAUCCAAAGAGACUGUGAGCAGUAAAUGGCUCCUGCUGGAUGUUGCUAAAAAUAUUACCUUACCUCUCUACAUCUAGAGGUCAAUUGAAAAAUCAAAAUACUGAGGUCAGCAACCCUGCAGACUGUUCUGUUGGGGAGAUUUCUUGCAUUUCUUCCCAGAAGGAGACUAUAAAACUAUCUGAAAGCAUAUGAAAGAAAUUCUCUUACAUUCUGCCUGCAGCUCAGCACCCUCCUCUGCGCUGAUGGCUGUAGCUCAGAGAGGCUUCCCCAGGCACUUGGAAAUUGCAUUUCUGGAUACAGCUUUGUAAGACUGGCAGAUGUGUUCUGCACAGUUCUGUCAUAUCUCCCAGCUCUCAGGCAGACAAAAUUAGCUUUGGUGCAGUUAAGAAGGAGAUGAUGUGUUCGACGUAUUGCAGUUUGAGUACGUGUCUGUACCUGCUUCCUUUUGUCUUAGGGAAGAUAGGUGCCACUACAGGACAGCAGCAUUACAGCCCCAGACCAGAUGAAAGAGUGGAAAGAUAUUUCAUGAACGGAGGUGCAACAUCUGCAUGCAAAGAAAAAAAAAAGUAUAAAAUCCUGGAAUUGAUGGAGAAUCUGUCUAGUUAAAGGACUUAGAUCAGGCAUGAGAAAGGAGAAGAAAAAGAGCAGAGUUGGAGAGACGUACUUUACUAAAAAAAGCAGGAAGAAUCACGUUGGGGAAGCUUUUAAUGGCAAAAUAUAAAAAAAUCAAAACAAGUAUGGAUGUGAUGAGACUGUAUGGCCAUGGCUGUCUCUUAGAAAGUGAAAAAUGACUGGUAGAUGAAUGUGUACUAUUUCUCUGCAAAUAAUGUACUGGUAGAGCUCAAGAAUCCGUACAGUGAGCACCCAGUCACCUCCACUGCAGUGGCUUUUCCUGUGUAGCAUUUCCCCAAUUUGGAGCUGAUACUUUCUCACCAUGGCCUUACCGCUUCGUUGCUGAAUUCCUAAAGGAUGGCAGGAUGGCCAAAGACUCAAGCAAGCAGUCCUGCAAUCAGAUCGGUCCAGUUCACUAGAAGGGUUUGUUAUAAAUAACACUGCUGUUGCCAUCUCACUGGAGCUGGUGUUAGCCAUCAUCUCUCAGUGCCUGUCCUUGGUAUGGGUAUGUAUCAGUCAGGCAGUUCACC
Long non-coding RNA from Amazona collaria (yellow-billed parrot), 1688 nucleotides. The record is from Ensembl. NCBI's taxonomy places the organism in Eukaryota, Metazoa, Chordata, Aves, Psittaciformes, Psittacidae.